CACUAUUGUUAUUUCUAAAUAUCUAAUUAAUGUUGCAUUGUACUCAAGUUACAGAUUUUUUUCUUUCACAGGCUUGCAAUGCAGAACAGUUGACAAGGUGGUGCUUCCACCAUAUUUCAACAAAUUACGAUAAAUUUCAAAACACGGAACAGUUUUCUCAGCUCAGUGACCAAACCAAAAAACACAUUGAAACAAAUCGCUGGCCACCAUUGUCCUAUUUACAAGAUUUUGAGAGAUUUAAGCGUCGGAGGCAACAAAGAAUAUGCUCAGUUUUAUAAUAAUGUGCAGUUUUAUAUGAACAUUUCUAUAUGACUCUAUUUAUGCAUUAUUAUUUAUAUUUAAAUUUCCUUCCUCAUAAUAGCCUAAAUAUCUUUUAUUAAAAAAUAC
This 387-nucleotide long non-coding RNA is filed under the name Mytilus galloprovincialis (Mediterranean mussel). Lineage: Eukaryota; Metazoa; Mollusca; Bivalvia; Mytilida; Mytilidae. The record is from RNAcentral.